AGCUGAUGAUCGUAGGCAAGUCACUCUGCCUCACUGGGUCUGCCUUGACUCAGUUGUUCUGUGUUAGUCAAAUAUGGCUUUGAAUAAUCAGGAAAGAGUAUUUUGUAAUUGUGAAAGUCUCUGAAUUUUGUUUAGGAGUGAUAAUUACUUGCAUAAAGACUUGCCAAAAUUCCAGUCAUUUGAAAUUUGGUUAUUUGAGUUUCGGCACAAACAGGGGAGUACCUGCUAAUUCAGAUAUUUUGCACUAAUUUUUAAAAGAUGCACUCCUCGGGGUUGCCGUUGCGGCUCAGCGGGUUAAGAACCCAACAUAGUAUCCAUGAGGAUGUGGGUUCCAUCCCUAGCUGCAAGUUAAGGAUCCAGCAUUGCUGAAAGCUGUGGGGUAGGUCUCAGAGGCAGCUCGGAUUUGGUGUUGCUGUGGCUGUGGUGUAGGCCGGCAUCUGCAGCUCCAAUUUGACCCCUAGUCUGGGAACUUCCAUAUGCCACAGAUGCAGCCCUAAAAAGAAAAAUAAAUGAAUAAAAUAUGCAGUCCUCAUAAAAACCUGAGGUAGCAGUAAGUGGUCAACCUAGGUCAGUGUCCAAUCCCCAUGCUCUUGCAUUAUACCACAUUAGGCACCCAAUUUUUUAUUGUAUAAAAAUAAAAGGAACGUUUCCUAUUCUCCAAAACUUGUUCAAUCUGACAUUAUCGUGAACUUUUACUUCUCUCUGCAGAUUAUCCCUUGAGAAACUGUAGCAGGCCAAGAAACAUUUCUAUUAUUUAACAAGUAUUUCUUUCAUUAGUGAAAACUUCAAAGUCAAGAAGCUAAACAGUCUGGCAGAGCUCCCAAACCACAAGGCAAGAUCUCUCCUCUUUCUGCGAGUCGAGUCCUUUUUAACUUCCUUUGUUUGAAAUGAGAGCAACUACCACCCAAAUAGGUCCCUAGCUCACAAGGGUGUACUGUGGGAUGUGAGAGGGGCUGAACAGUCCUGGAAAGUGGGGGAAUGAUUCAAGGGAAGAGAAACUGACACAGGAGUGGCUUUAAGAAAAGAGGAAACAGUUUCUGUAGCUGCUGAUAAAACUUUCACAUGCCCAGUCAAAAUACAUAUGCCACACAAACUCAGUACUAAUUUCCCAUAACUUAUUUUUCUCUUUACUUCAAUCUUUUCUUAUAUAAAUGAAGGGUUUGAAAGAAAGGAGAGGAUGUUUUUAUAUGGGAAAGAGCUUUAAAUCUUUGGUGUCUUGCUUCCUUCUCUCUAAAAGUGGAGAAUUAGACUAAGUUUAUUCUUUUGGUUUGGUAUGCUGAAAUCACAGUUUUAGAUUUAGAAAUUUAUUUUAGCUGGCAAUUUAUAAAACAUUUUCAAACAUUUUACAUUUUUAGGAAUAGACAAAAAUAGGCCUUUUUCUUCCAAGCAUGGAAAGCAGCAAGCACCUCUUGGUUUUCCUGACAAAUGAAUAUAGUUAUGUAAUUUAAUAGUGUUAUUAGAAUUGCCUACUUCUAGAAUGGAAACAUCAACAUCUCUGGAAUGGGGCGAGGAAAACAAAGGAGGUUUAGCUCAAAGAAAAUGUAACCAGAUCAAGAGAAAAACAAUGCGGGAACUCUUCUCAAUUACAUUUGCUUAAAAAAUUAAUACUUUAAAAAACUAGAUAAAACAAUCAUAGUUUAGGAACUAUUUUACCAUUGUUAGCUUUGCUAAUAACCUAAACAUGUCCACCAGCUCUGCAUCCUAUCUCUCCCCACUCUGACAAGUUUCCCCAAAUUUCUAAGUCUGCAUAUUUAGCACAGUCCACCUACCCCUAUCCCCCAACUUCUACUAAAGGAAAGGGAAAAGAGAAAGAAUUCGAAUUGUCUUUCUCAGCUUUUGGGGACUAAGUCCUAACUUUUAUCCAGCAGCAUCCCUGUUAACUAGCAAUUACCUGUUGAAUAAAUGAGCUGACAUCUCUUCAACCUGAAAUAUCUGGUACAAGCUUUCUUCCCCAGUGGAAAACUGAGAGCCCAGUCUAAUCCUCAGCUUUCUGCUUUUGCGCUAAGAUACUUGCUUUCAUGCACAGGGAGUUUUCUCUGCUUAUAGGAAAGGAAUAAGGACAAAGCUCGCUCUCUUGCUGUAAUUGUCAAGCUGAAGCCUUUCUUCUCCCCUUGGAACUUUCUUUUACUCCUCAGCUAUAAAUGAUUUAUUUCUCCUGAGAAAAGACUUAACAUUUAACAGGACUUUUUAGUGAUUUCACAUCAAUCCUCCUUUCGAACAGAUAUAUGUAGUCUUCAUUAAUAAUGCAAGAAAAUCAAAUAGAAAAAUGAACCAGGAAAGUCAAUUAGCAGUUUAAGUGAAAUAAAAAUAUUUUACUUCUUACCAAUUAAUUCAAAUGCAUAUUAAAAUGAGAUAUCAAAUUUUACCUAUAAAAGAGAUGGAGUAUGAAUAAAUAGACUGAUCAUGUCCACAUUGAAUGAUGAUGUGGGAAGAUAGGCACGUUGCUGCAUUGUUGAUAGGCACAGCAAUGGAAUUAGUCUUCUUUAAGAGCAGUUGAGGAGGAGUUCCCGUCGUGGUGCAGUGGUUAACGAAUCCGACUAGGAACCAUGAGGUUGCGGGUUCGGUCCCUGCCCUUGCUUAGUGGGUUACCGAUCCGGCGUUGCCGUGAGCUGUGGUGUAGGUUGCAGACGUGGCUUGGAUCCCUCAUUGCUGUGGCUCUGGCGUAGGCUGGUGGCUACAGCUCUGAUUCGACCCCUAGCCUGGGAACCUCCAUAUGCCGCUGGAGCGGCCCAAGAAAU
This 2738-nucleotide long non-coding RNA is filed under the name Sus scrofa (pig). Its description in RNAcentral is "lncRNA (ENSSSCG00000044939.2)". The record is from RNAcentral. Lineage: Eukaryota; Metazoa; Chordata; Mammalia; Artiodactyla; Suidae.